Perca flavescens (yellow perch) is the source of this 877-nucleotide long non-coding RNA. RefSeq lists it as uncharacterized. Lineage: Eukaryota; Metazoa; Chordata; Actinopteri; Perciformes; Percidae. The transcript has 3 exons. The record is from RefSeq and is a predicted model, not a curated record.
CGGCUCUCAUUCGGUGAAGGCUUUUAACAAACAGCCUGGCUCACCCGUGCAGGAGGCUCUGAAGGUCACCUCUUUAUCAUUGACACAGUCACACUUCACUUCAGGACAAAGAGAAAGAUGAAGAUGAAGGUCUGAGGUGUUCAACAGUGGCCAGGACGGGUCUCCGGCACACCAGAGGACGAGAUGAUGCGUAGCGGGAAAUGCAUUCGACUGCAUGGAGGGUCUACAAACACAGCUAAAAAAACAAAAAUGUUUGUUGAGUAUGAGCAAUAUAGUCAGUAUUGUGUAUUAGACGUAGGUCGGAAGCAAGAGGAUGCCAAAGCGCCUGUCCCGCUAAGCCUACGCGAGGCUCACUGUCACGAACCAGAGUGUGUGUUGCAGGCGCAUGAGCGAGCCCUGGGACAGGCUGAAGAGGACAGCUGUGACACCUGCAAGCGUGUUUACAAGCCAACGACCUACGCGGCUGAAAAGCACCCAAAAAAAUAACAUUUGCGUCUAGACAGGGCCACAAAGAGUCAGUAUUGUGUAUUAGACGUAGGUCGGACGCAAGAGGAUGCCAAAGUGCCUGUCCCGCUAAGCCUACGCGAGGCUCACUGUCGCGAACCAGAGCGUGUGUUGCGGGCGCGCGAGCGAGCCCUGGGACAGGCUGAGGAGGACAGCUAUGACUGACACAUGCGAGCGCGUUUGCAAGUCAACGACCUACGCGGAUGAAAAACGCCCAAAUAAACUAACAUUCGCGUCGAACCACAGCGUGUAUUCUGGGCGCACAAUCGAGCCCAGGGACAGGCUCAAGAAGACAGCUGUGACACCUGCGGGCGCGUUUACAAGCCAACGACCUACGCGGCUGAAAAGCGCACAAAUAAACUAACAUUCGCGU